RNAcentral lists this ribosomal RNA (507 nucleotides) under uncultured Glomeraceae. Its description in RNAcentral is "SSU rRNA". It matches the Rfam family "Eukaryotic small subunit ribosomal RNA", at positions 569 to 1078 of the family's 1831-position model. Lineage: Eukaryota; Fungi; Glomeromycota; Glomeromycetes; Glomerales; Glomeraceae. The record is from RNAcentral.
AGCAGCCGCGGUAAUUCCAGCUCCAAUAGCGUAUAUUAAAGUUGUUGCAGUUAAAAAGCUCGUAGUUGAAUUUCGGGAUCAAAGAAUCGGUCAUGCUUUGGUAUGUACUGGUUUUAUUGGUUCUCACCUUCUAAAGAACCAUAAUGUCAUUUAUUUGAUGUUACGGGGAAUUAGGACUGUUACCUUGAAAAAAUUAGAGUGUUUAAAGCAAGCUUACGCUUGAAUACAUUAGCAUGGAAUAAUGGAAUAGGACAUCCGAUUCUAUUUUGUUGGUUUCUAGGAUCGAUGUAAUGAUUAAUAGGGAUAGUUGGGGGCAUUAGUAUUCAAUUGUCAGAGGUGAAAUUCUUGGAUUUAUUGAAGACUAACUACUGCGAAAGCAUUUGCCAAGGAUGUUUUCAUUAAUCAAGAACGAAAGUUAGGGGAUCGAAGACGAUCAGAUACCGUCGUAGUCUUAACCAUAAACUAUGCCGACUAGGGAUCGGAUGAUGUUUAUUUUUUAGUGACUCA